UCCCCUAGUAACGGCGAGUGAAGCGGGAAGAGCUCAAGCUUAAAAUCUCCAUGUUUUACAUGGCGAAUUGUAGUCUAUUGAGGCUGUUGUCAGCAUAGCGAUUUGGGAUAAGUCCCUUGGAAAAGGGCAGCACAGAGGGUGAUACUCCCGUCUUUGCUCAGAUUGUCUAUGUGUACGAUACGCUUUCUUUGAGUCGAGUUGUUUGGGAAUACAGCUCAAAGUAGGUGGUAAAUUCCAUCUAAAGCUAAAUAUUGGUGCGAGACCGAUAGCGAACAAGUACCGUGAGGGAAAGAUGAAAAGAACUUUGAAAAGAGAGUUAAAGAGUACCUGAAACUGUUGAAAGGGAACCGUAACAUGUCCAGUGUUGUAUCUUGUGCAUAUUUCAUUAGUGGAGUAAUUUACUGGUGCCCUGUGCAUAAGUGUGACGUCAAAGUCAGUUUGUAUGCUGCGGGAGAUGGUUAACAAGGAGGUGCGUCGCUUUUGUGUCAGUUAUACCUUGUUAUCUAGUAGCCGUGGUUGAGACUGAGGUGCCUACAACAUGCUUAUAGAGUAUAUUGUUGUCUCGUUAUUAUACCUGUUUGGAUAGCUUGCUAUGCUGAUGGUCUAUAGUGGCGAUUGAUGAUGGUAUUAACUUUUUGCUGUUCGGGACUUUGAC
This 655-nucleotide ribosomal RNA is filed under the name Achlya caroliniana. RNAcentral's name for it is "LSU rRNA". It matches the Rfam family "Eukaryotic large subunit ribosomal RNA", at positions 76 to 630 of the family's 3401-position model. Lineage: Eukaryota; Oomycota; Saprolegniomycetes; Saprolegniales; Achlyaceae. The record is from RNAcentral.